GGCGAGUGGCGAACGGGUGAGUAACAUAUCGGAACGUACCGAGCAGUGGGGGAUAACUAAUCGAAAGAUUAGCUAAUACCGCAUAUUUUCUGAGGAAGAAAGCAGGGGACCUUUGGGCCUUGCGCUGUUUGAGCGGCCGAUAUCUGAUUAGCUAGUUGGUGGGGUAAAGGCCUACCAAGGCGACGAUCAGUAGCGGGUCUGAGAGGAUGAUCCGCCACACUGGGACUGAGACACGGCCCAGACUCCUACGGGAGGCAGCAGUGGGGAAUUUUGGACAAUGGGCGCAAGCCUGAUCCAGCCAUGCCGCGUGUCUGAAGAAGGCCUUCGGGUUGUAAAGGACUUUUGUCAGGGAAGAAAAGGGCGGGGUUAAUACCCCUGUCUGAUGACGGUACCUGAAGAAUAAGCACCGGCUAACUACGUGCCAGCAGCCGCGGUAAUACGUAGGGUGCGAGCGUUAAUCGGAAUUACUGGGCGUAAAGCGGGCGCAGACGGUUACUUAAGCAGGAUGUGAAAUCCCCGGGCUCAACCUGGGAACUGCGUUCUGAACUGGGUGACUAGAGUGUGUCAGAGGGAGGUAGAAUUCCACGUGUAGCAGUGAAAUGCGUAGAGAUGUGGAGGAAUACCGAUGGCGAAGGCAGCCUCCUGGGAUAACACUGACGUUCAUGCCCGAAAGCGUGGGUAGCAAACAGGAUUAGAUACCCUGGUAGUCCACGCCCUAAACGAUGUCGAUUAGCUGUUGGGCAGCAUGACUGCUUAGUAGCGAAGCUAACGCGUGAAAUCGACCGCCUGGGGAGUACGGUCGCAAGAUUAAAACUCAAAGGAAUUGACGGGGACCCGCACAAGCGGUGGAUGAUGUGGAUUAAUUCGAUGCAACGCGAAGAACCUUACCUGGUCUUGACAUGUACGGAACCCUCCAGAGACGGAGGGGUGCCUUCGGGAGCCGUAACACAGGUGCUGCAUGGCUGUCGUCAGCUCGUGUCGUGAGAUGUUGGGUUAAGUCCCGCAACGAGCGCAACCCUUGUCAUUAGUUGCCAUCAUUAAGUUGGGCACUCUAAUGAGACUGCCGGUGACAAGCCGGAGGAAGG
This 1085-nucleotide ribosomal RNA is filed under the name Neisseria mucosa. RNAcentral's name for it is "bacterial SSU rRNA". It matches the Rfam family "Bacterial small subunit ribosomal RNA", at positions 90 to 1173 of the family's 1533-position model. Lineage: Bacteria; Pseudomonadati; Pseudomonadota; Betaproteobacteria; Neisseriales; Neisseriaceae. The record is from RNAcentral.